CCUACGGGUGGCAGCAGUGGGGAAUAUUGGGCAAUGGGCGCAAGCCUGACCCAGCAAAGCCGCGUGAAGGAAGAAGGCUUUAGGGUUGUAAAAUUCUUUUGACAGAGAAGAGUAGACGACGGUACCUGUCGAAUAAGACAGGGCUAACUACGUUCCAACAGCCGCGGUAAUACGUAGGUGGCAAGCGUUGUCCGGCUUUACUGGGUGUAAAGGGCGUGUAGCCGGGUUGACAAGUCAGAUGUGAAAUCCUGCGGGUUAACCGCAGAACUGCAUUUGAAACUGGUGAUCUUGUGUACUCGAGAGGCAUACGGAAAUCCUAGUGUAGCGGUGAAAUGCGUAGAUAUUAGGAAGAACACCAGUGGCGAAGGCAGCCUGCUGGACAUCAACUGACGGUGAGGCGCGAAAGCGUGGGGAGCGAACAGGAUUAGAUACCCCUGUAGUC
RNAcentral lists this ribosomal RNA (442 nucleotides) under uncultured bacterium. Its description in RNAcentral is "partial 16S ribosomal RNA". It matches the Rfam family "Bacterial small subunit ribosomal RNA", at positions 338 to 795 of the family's 1533-position model. The record is from RNAcentral.